RNAcentral lists this ribosomal RNA (460 nucleotides) under uncultured bacterium. Its description in RNAcentral is "partial 16S ribosomal RNA". It matches the Rfam family "Bacterial small subunit ribosomal RNA", at positions 338 to 795 of the family's 1533-position model. The record is from RNAcentral.
CCUACGGGAGGCAGCAGUGAGGAAUAUUGGUCAAUGGGCGCAAGCCUGAACCAGCUAAGUAGCGUGAAGGUUGACUGCCCUACGGGUUGUAAACUUCUUUUAUAAAGGAAUAAAGUGAGUCACGUGUGCCGUUUUGUAUGUACUUUAUGAAUAAGGAUCGGCUAACUCCGUGCCAGCAGCCGCGGUAAUACGGAGGGUCCGAGCGUUAUCCGGAUUUAUUGGGUUUAAAGGGAGCGUAGAUGGGUUGUUAAGUCAGUUGUGAAAGUUUGCGGCUCAACCGUAAAAUUGCAAUUGAUACUGGCAGGCUUGAGUACAGGUGAGGCAGGCGGAAUUCGUGGUGUAGCGGUGAAAUGCUUAGAUAUGACGAAGAACUCCGAUUGCGAAGGCAGCUUACUAAACUGCCACUGACAUUGAUGCUCGAAAGUGUGGGUAUCAAACAGGAUUAGAUACCCCAGUAGUC